GGCCUCGUAGCUCAUUUGGUAUAGCGUGCGCUCUACAAAAGCGUUGUCAGCGUCCCCGAGUGGGUUUGAAUCCCACCGAGGCUA
RNAcentral lists this transfer RNA (84 nucleotides) under Echinostoma caproni. It matches the Rfam family "tRNA". From Rfam's summary of the family: Transfer RNA (tRNA) molecules are approximately 80 nucleotides in length. Lineage: Eukaryota; Metazoa; Platyhelminthes; Trematoda; Plagiorchiida; Echinostomatidae. The record is from Rfam by way of RNAcentral.